AGAUAAUUCUUCUCCCCUGACUGGACCUCUGGCAGCAGCUUCACUAAGGUGGGAUGGAUAGCAGGGUCUCAGGCACAACCAGUAAUGGAGAGACAAAACCAGUGUAUCCAGUCAUGGAAAAGAAGGAGGAAGAUGGCACCCUGGAGCGGGGGCACUGGAACAACAAGAUGGAGUUUGUGCUGUCAGUGGCUGGGGAGAUCAUUGGCUUAGGCAACGUCUGGAGGUUUCCCUAUCUCUGCUACAAAAAUGGGGGAGGUGCCUUCUUCAUCCCCUACCUCGUCUUCCUCUUUACCUGUGGCAUUCCUGUCUUCCUUCUGGAGACAGCACUAGGCCAGUACACUAGCCAGGGAGGCGUCACAGCCUGGAGGAAGAUCUGCCCCAUCUUUGAGGGCAUUGGCUAUGCCUCCCAGAUGAUCGUCAUCCUCCUCAACGUCUACUACAUCAUUGUGUUGGCCUGGGCCCUGUUCUACCUCUUCAGCAGCUUCACCAUCGACCUGCCCUGGGGCGGCUGCUACCAUGAGUGGAACACAGAACACUGUAUGGAGUUCCAGAAGACCAACGGCUCCCUGAAUGGUACCUCUGAGAAUGCCACCUCUCCUGUCAUCGAGUUCUGGGAGCGGCGGGUCUUGAAGAUCUCUGAUGGGAUCCAGCACCUGGGGGCCCUGCGCUGGGAGCUGGCUCUGUGCCUCCUGCUGGCCUGGGUCAUCUGCUACUUCUGCAUCUGGAAGGGGGUGAAGUCCACAGGCAAGGUUCGUGUGGGGAGCUCCUGCCCCUCCCAUUCCCGGACUCCUGCCCUCACUGGGGGCUGUCACCCAGGAGUUCUCUAAGCUGUGGCCCCGUUGAGGACGGGAGGCGAUGACCCAGCGAGGAUUUGAUGUGGCUCCCUUCCUUGAUUCUCCGCCUCUCCUAGACUCACAUACUUCUGGUUUUUGGGACUGGAAGAGAGCGAGAAAGGCAGGAAGGACACCUCCAGGGUAAUCUGAUCUUGGAACUGACGAUGG
RNAcentral lists this small RNA (1001 nucleotides) under Pan troglodytes (chimpanzee). Its description in RNAcentral is "retained intron". Lineage: Eukaryota; Metazoa; Chordata; Mammalia; Primates; Hominidae. The record is from RNAcentral.